ACUCUGUGAUGACUAUGAUGACGAGACUGAGUUAUUAUCCAGUGAUGACAAUCGAGGCAUUUGUCUGAGAGUA
Molecule: non-coding RNA, 73 nt
Organism: Paramuricea clavata
Lineage: Eukaryota; Metazoa; Cnidaria; Anthozoa; Malacalcyonacea; Plexauridae
Source: the annotation of a GenBank genome assembly